GCGUAUUAAGUUGUUGGGAUUCAUUGCUGCGUUGAGUUCGUUAUAUCUUAGAAAGCUUUGAUCCAGGUAUGGGGUGAGGGAAAAGAGUUCGAGAUCAUGAGUGUAAAUUAAUUGAGAUAAACAGGAAAACAAUAUUUCCCAAAGUUCAUUCGGGGCUCCCUGCGACGGUUAUAGCCCUUCGAGAGAAUAAUGAAUUAAUG
Molecule: long non-coding RNA, 200 nt
Filed under: Medicago truncatula (barrel medic)
Lineage: Eukaryota; Viridiplantae; Streptophyta; Magnoliopsida; Fabales; Fabaceae
Description: long non-coding RNA (MTRU_LNC004274)
Source: RNAcentral